This 467-nucleotide ribosomal RNA is filed under the name uncultured bacterium. RNAcentral describes it as "bacterial SSU rRNA". It matches the Rfam family "Bacterial small subunit ribosomal RNA", at positions 62 to 507 of the family's 1533-position model. The record is from RNAcentral.
GGAACGGCGAGGCCGGGUCCGUUCGGGUCGGCCGGCGAGGUGGACGGAACGGGUGAGUAAUGCAGUACGGAACGUCGCCUAUUAGGAGGUAGGGGAAUAACGUAGACGAAAGUUACGCUAAUACCGCAUAUUCUGUGAGCAGGAAAGCAGGGGGACCGCAAGGCCUUGCGCUCUUUGAGCGGCCGAUGUCAGAUUAGCUAGUUGGUGAGGUAAAGGCUUACCAAGGCGACGAUCUGUAGCGGGUCUGAGAGGAUGAUCCGCCACACUGGAACUGAGACACGGUCCAGACUCCUACGGGAGGCAGCAGUGGGGAAUUUUGGACAAUGGGCGCAAGCCUGAUCCAGCCAUGCCGCGUGAGUGAAGAAGGCCUUCGGGUUGUAAAGCUCUUUCGGCCGGGAAGAAGUCGCAUGGGUUAAUACCCUGUGUGGAUGACGGUACCGGAAUAAGAAGCACCGGCUAACUACGUG